UACAGAGGAGCCAAGCGUUGUCCGGAUUGACUGGGCGUAAAGCGCACGUAGGCGGGUUGUUAAGUCGGGGGUGAAAUCCUGGAGCUCAACUCCAGAACUGCCUUCGAUACUGGCGACCUUGAGUCCGGGAGAGGAGAGUGGAAUUCCCAGUGUAGAGGUGAAAUUCGUAGAUAUUGGGAAGAACACCGGUGGCGAAGGCGGCUCUCUGGACCGAGACUGACGCUGAGGCGCGAAAGCGUGGGGAGCAAACAGG
This 253-nucleotide ribosomal RNA is filed under the name uncultured bacterium. Its description in RNAcentral is "partial 16S ribosomal RNA". It matches the Rfam family "Bacterial small subunit ribosomal RNA", at positions 524 to 776 of the family's 1533-position model. The record is from RNAcentral.